GAUGAACGCUGGCGGCAUGCCUUACACAUGCAAGUCGAACGGCAGCGGGGGAGAAGCUUGCUUUUCCUGCCGGCGAGUGGCGAACGGGUGAGUAAUACAUCGGAACGUGCCCUGUAGUGGGGGACAACUAGUCGAAAGAUUAGCUAAUACCGCAUACGACCUGAGGGUGAAAGUGGGGGACCGCAAGGCCUCAUGCUAUAGGAGCGGCCGAUGUCUGAUUAGCUAGUUGGUGGGGUAAAGGCCUACCAAGGCGACGAUCAGUAGCUGGUCUGAGAGGACGAUCAGCCACACUGGGACUGAGACACGGCCCAGACUCCUACGGGAGGCAGCAGUGGGGAAUUUUGGACAAUGGGCGAAAGCCUGAUCCAGCAAUGCCGCGUGUGUAAAGAAGGCCUUCGGGUUGUAAAGCACUUUUGUCCGGAAAGAAAUGGCUCUGGUUAAUACCUGGGGUCGAUGACGGUACCGGAAGAAUAAGGACCGGCUAACUACGUGCCAGCCGCCGCCGUAA
RNAcentral lists this ribosomal RNA (508 nucleotides) under uncultured bacterium. RNAcentral describes it as "partial 16S ribosomal RNA". It matches the Rfam family "Bacterial small subunit ribosomal RNA", at positions 28 to 523 of the family's 1533-position model. The record is from RNAcentral.